RNAcentral lists this ribosomal RNA (579 nucleotides) under uncultured bacterium. Its description in RNAcentral is "partial 16S ribosomal RNA". It matches the Rfam family "Bacterial small subunit ribosomal RNA", at positions 355 to 932 of the family's 1533-position model. The record is from RNAcentral.
UGGGGAAUUUUGGACAAUGGGCGCAAGCCUGAUCCAGCCAUGCCGCGUGCGGGAAGAAGGCCUUCGGGUUGUAAACCGCUUUUGUCAGGGAAGAAAUCUUCUGAGUUAAUACCUCGGGAGGAUGACGGUACCUGAAGAAUAAGCACCGGCUAACUACGUGCCAGCAGCCGCGGUAAUACGUAGGGUGCAAGCGUUAAUCGGAAUUACUGGGCGUAAAGCGUGCGCAGGCGGUUUUGUAAGACAGAGGUGAAAUCCCCGGGCUCAACCUGGGAACUGCCUUUGUGACUGCAAGGCUUGAGUGCGGCAGAGGGGGAUGGAAUUCCGCGUGUAGCAGUGAAAUGCGUAGAUAUGCGGAGGAACACCGAUGGCGAAGGCAAUCCCCUGGGCCUGCACUGACGCUCAUGCACGAAAUCGUGGGGAGCAAACAGGAUUAGAUACCCUGGUAGUCCACGCCCUAAACGAUGUCAACUGGUUGUUGGGAAGGUUCCUUCUCAGUAACGUAGCUAACGCGUGAAGUUGACCGCCUGGGGAGUACGGCCGCAAGGUUGAAACUCAAAUGAAUUGACGGGGUCAUAGCUG